Molecule: long non-coding RNA, 2376 nt
Organism: Helianthus annuus (common sunflower)
Lineage: Eukaryota; Viridiplantae; Streptophyta; Magnoliopsida; Asterales; Asteraceae
Exons: 3
Source: RefSeq, a predicted model, not a curated record
AACACUUGUUUGUGUUGUUGGGUUCGAUCAGAAGGCAGGGGGCGACUUCAAGCUCCCCAAAACCCUAGUUCACAUCAAAAACCACCAAUUGAAGGAUCAAAUCGAGUCCAAAACGAAAACCGAGCAUAUAUUCGUGAUCCCCAUUGAAAGGAGAUCAUAAGUUUGUCGCCUAACGAGCUAGGUGGAGGCUUGAAAAAGAAGCGGUCAAACGAAUCAAGCACGAGAAGAAAACGUAUUCGGAUGCGAGGUAAGUAGAGCUUACGCCCCUUUACAUUAUUUGCAAAGUUACUUAAUUUCAAGUAAUGAUAUGAAUGCUACUAAGUGGUUGGUAUAUGAUAUUCCGACGCGAUUCAAUGAGAGUUGGAAUGAGGGGAAAUGGUAAAUUAGUCAUGUAAUGACGAAUAAUUAAAAACGGUUUUAAGUAAAACAAGUUCAAAGAAAACCGGGAUAGGUAAAAGGGGUGAAAUGGUAAUUAAAUACCAUCUCAACACGGACAAAUGGUCAAUUAGACUAAAUGGGUCAAAUGGUGUGGAUAACACCAUUUGGCAAUAACAAUUGACAAUCGCUUGUUGAGUUUUGUGAUUUCAGGAAAUAACAUGUGUUGCGUUGCUUUAAUUAGAAAAUUUAAAGCAAGAAGUAUGUAAACGGGUCAAUACUAUGAUCCGAGCCAGGUACGCAUACGUGAAUUUAUAGUUAAAAGUGCAAGAAGGUCUAACAUCUAGCCGAAAUCCUUCAUUUCAAAAUGAAGGACUAAAUGUGACCAAAGAGCCCUUAAUAGGUAAACAAUGUAAACGACCCUUAGAGGUUGCCUAGAAACUUAUAUUAUGAGUUUGAAACCCUUAGAUGUGUAUAAAAGUUCUAGGCAAAAACAAUUGCGGGUCAAACGCCUAGAAAUAGUUAAUUGCGGAAAAAUGACCAACCGAUAGGUAAAAUUGGGAAAAAGGGGUUCAUAUGUUAAAUCCACCACAAAAUAGUUGUGGUGGAAUAUUUCUAGUUAAUUAGACAUGGAAAAUAUUGUAGUAUCAAAAGAAAAGCAAAAGUUCUAGACCAAAAUGCGUAAAUACCCUUAACGGGUCGAAAUAGAAGUAUUAGCGAAACGAGUUAAGGAUGUGUAAUAACCCGUGAUUUGAACCUUGUGCAAUAGGAAAUAAUCAUAAUAUUAUGUUUACGAAAGAAACAAGGGCCACAAUCAAGUUCGUUAGAUGAAUUCAUGAACGGGUCAAAAUUUGGGUAAAAAUGGUAAUAAGCCGAAGACUUAAAAGUCUUAAAUUUUUGUUAAUCCGGAUGUCGGAUUUUAACUCCAUAUGAUGGAGAAUUAAAUUAAGGACGCGUAGGAAAAAGAAUCGUGUAAAACGGAUUAAAAACGAGAGAGUUAUGUCCGUUUCGGUAAGAACUAAUGAAAAAUAGACGUGCAGAGUUGACACGGGCGGGUGACUUUUUGACACGGCCGGGUGGCUGGGCUGUGAAAAAUAUAUGUUAACUGACACGGCCGGGUGACUUUUUGACACGGCCGGGUGAAGGGGCUGAAAACAAAACAAAAAUAAUUUCUUGUUUUGUUACGUUAAGCACGGAACUUGUUUAUACACGAUUAUUAAAGUGUCAAAACUAAUUAUUUACAUGGUUUUGACCGUAGGUGAAGAUGGGAUAAGCGGUUUGAAAGAUACGAAAGUUUUCGUGCAAAUAAACGGCAAAAUAGGAAAGCUGGAAUGCAGGGGCCACCGUAACUUACGGUGCCACUGUAAGUUACGGUGGAGCUGAAGGCUUUACGGCAGCCCCCUACUGAUUUACGUUGAAGGACACUCGCAUAUGAGGAUAGCGAGAGCUUAACAAAUUACGGAUAUGAUAGAAGAACGGUCCAAAAUAUGACAAGAGGAGCAUGCUCACCAAGGACUAAAUCGCGUAACGACCGCGAACAAAGUUAAAGGCAAGAAACGCCCGUCGGGGCAAGCAUUGCCAGGUGCACACUUUUAAAAAUUUAAUUGCACAAGUAGCAAUAUGCAACAAACACGUAAGUAAUGACGGUUGCAUACACAUAUGAUAGAACUUAGAAAACCUGAUUUCCAAGAGAAAUUUAAUAGAAAAUGUGUCAUUCACGAUGAUGAGUAACAAGAUUUGUUCAUAUGGAAACUUGGAUUGGGGUAAUUAUCCAAGUGGGAAACUCUCAAUUUAAUACUAUUGAGAAAAGUAGCAAUCACAUUAACAAAUGUGAUUAAAUAUUAGUUUAAAAAAAACAUUGUAUAUGUUCAUGAAUAAAACAUGUAAAUCAAAUAACUGUUAAAUGGUAACUAAAUAAAUGGUUGCCAAUGAAAGUCCAGAAUAUAGAAAGAUUAGAGGCGUCACUUACAUGGGGUGUAGUGCGGAAAUUAUGAAAAGGUC